This 372-nucleotide ribosomal RNA is filed under the name uncultured organism. Its description in RNAcentral is "bacterial SSU rRNA". It matches the Rfam family "Bacterial small subunit ribosomal RNA", at positions 526 to 896 of the family's 1533-position model. The record is from RNAcentral.
CAGAGGGUGCGAGCGUUGUCCGGAAUCACUGGGCGUAAAGGGCGCGUAGGUGGCGACCCAAGUCAAUGGUGAAAGCUCGAUGCUCAACAUCGAGUCGGCCACUGAUACUGGGUUGCUCGAGCACUGUAGAGGCAGAUGGAAUUCCGGGUGUAGCGGUGGAAUGCGUAGGGAUCCGGAAGAACACCGGUGGCGAAGGCGGUCUGCUGGGCAGUAGCUGACACUGAGGCGCGACAGCGUGGGGAGCAAACAGGAUUAGAUACCCUGGUAGUCCACGCCGUAAACGAUGGGCACUAGAUGCUUGGGGGAGCGACCCCCUGAGUGUCGUCGCUAACGCAGUAAGUGCCCCGCCUGGGGAGUACGGCCGCAAGGCUG